This 432-nucleotide ribosomal RNA is filed under the name uncultured bacterium. RNAcentral describes it as "partial 16S ribosomal RNA". It matches the Rfam family "Bacterial small subunit ribosomal RNA", at positions 29 to 506 of the family's 1533-position model. The record is from RNAcentral.
AACGAACGCUGGCGGCAUGCCUAACACAUGCAAGUCGAACGAGACCUUCGGGUCUAGUGGCGCACGGGUGCGUAACGCGUGGGAACCUGCCCUUAGGUUCGGAAUAACUCCCCGAAAGGGGUGCUAAUACCGGAUGAUGUCUUCGGACCAAAGAUUUAUCGCCUUUGGAUGGGCCCGCGUUGGAUUAGCUAGUUGGUAGGGUAAAAGCCUACCAAGGCGACGAUCCAUAGCUGGUCUGAGAGGAUGAUCAGCCACACUGGGACUGAGACACGGCCCAGACUCCUAGGGGGGGCAGCAGGGGGGAAUUUUGGAAAAUGGGCGAAAGCCUGAUCCAGCAAUGCCGGGUGAGGUAUGAAGGCCUUGGGGUUUUAAAGCUUUUUUACCCGGGAUGAAAAUGACAGUACCGGGAGAAUAAACCCCGGCUAACCCCGU